UGGCACACAGGCAGCGAUGGUGUUCGGCCCCAACGGGCCGGCUGAAAAGGGAACGCGGUGCGCCUCAGGGCAAGGCCGCGGCUGCCCCCGCAACUGUAAGCGGCCAGCGAUUUCGGGAAUGCCACUGGGCCUGCGGGUCCGGGAAGGUCCGGAAAAGCGAUGACCCGCAAGCCAGGAGACCUGCCAUCGCCGAUUAACCCGA
Molecule: non-coding RNA, 202 nt
Filed under: Paracoccaceae bacterium
Lineage: Bacteria; Pseudomonadati; Pseudomonadota; Alphaproteobacteria; Rhodobacterales; Paracoccaceae
Source: RNAcentral